AGGGAUUUAGCUCAGUGGUAGAGCGCUUGCCUAGCAAGUGCAAGGCCCUGGGUUCAGUCCCCAGCUCUG
Molecule: transfer RNA, 69 nt
Filed under: Rattus norvegicus (Norway rat)
Lineage: Eukaryota; Metazoa; Chordata; Mammalia; Rodentia; Muridae
Rfam family: tRNA
About the family: Transfer RNA (tRNA) molecules are approximately 80 nucleotides in length. Their secondary structure includes four short double-helical elements and three loops (D, anti-codon, and T loops).
Source: Rfam by way of RNAcentral